Molecule: ribosomal RNA, 405 nt
Filed under: Triticum aestivum (bread wheat)
Lineage: Eukaryota; Viridiplantae; Streptophyta; Magnoliopsida; Poales; Poaceae
Description: partial small subunit ribosomal RNA
Source: RNAcentral
AUGGAGGAGCAAGCAAGAUUAUUGGAAUGGGAGAAGUACUUGUUCUUCAUGGACACAUCCAACUUCGACGAGAGGCAAAAGGAGUACAUCAACCUUUGUUGUGAUCAAAUCUUGAUGCAAAAAAGAAUGAUGUGCAUGGGAGGCUUUGGAGGCAUGGGAGCUUCCAUGGGUGGCAUGGGAGCACCUAUGAGAGGCAUGGGAGCUUCCAUGGGAGGCAUGGGAGAUUCCAUGGCAGGCUUGGGAGCUACCAUGGAUGGCAUCGGAGGCGUGGGAGCUACCAUGAGAGACAUGAGUUUUGCGUCUCUCAUGGGAGCACCUACGGGGGGCAUGGGUGGCAUGGGAGCUUCCGGUGUGCCUCACAUGCCUUUGCAUAAUGCCUUUGUUCAUAGUGCAAACACCGUCUGA